Molecule: long non-coding RNA, 816 nt
Filed under: Vulpes vulpes (red fox)
Lineage: Eukaryota; Metazoa; Chordata; Mammalia; Carnivora; Canidae
Description: lncRNA (ENSVVUG00000028222.1)
Source: RNAcentral
CACGGCUCUGCUGCAAGAGCCAAGUCUCCUUGUGGCUUAACGGUUAUACUGCCAAUUGCUCCAGAGAAAGUGUCAAAAGAUGAUAUAAAUAACAAACAGAGACAUGUUAUGAAUGUUUCACAAUCUUACAAAAUUCUUACUUCGAAAAUCUACUCUUCUGGAGAAGGUUUCCCAUUCUGAGGUUGUUGGACCAGGACCAUGGAUAUAUUCUUGUAAAUUUUCAUUACCAAAACUUCCUGCUGCACUGGCUCUGCAGUGCAGAUGGAGGGAGGCUUUGGCUUCCUCAUCCUCAUCAUGAUGCCCUUCUGGAUUCUGCCAGACACUGCAGCCCAGGGACCGGUGUGCCAGAGGAAACAUGGAGCCACCAGGGAACCUGCUGUACCUUCCCAGAGCAGAAACCUACUCCAGAAUUUCUACUCCAGAACACAGAACUGUGAGGAGCAAGGCAGGCAGAAGAAAUCACUUUCCUACAAACACAAGAUGGAUACAGCAGGGGGAGAAGACAAGAUACACCUUUUUAUAAGUUAAAAACGUUACUUCAAAGAGACCUCAGAUGAGGUGGGCAGCUUUGUCCUGCUCCUAGAACUGUGCAGCAAUCUGAGGAGCCUGGGUGUCAGGCCAUCAGAAAACAGAAAAGAAUAUCCUUGAGACUCCCAAUCUGGACCCCCAUGGCGCUCAAGUCCUAUUACCAAAAGCUUGUUUCAAAGAACUGCGUUUACCAGCCUUCAUCUUAAAACAGAUGAUUGGUACAGACAUUUGACGAAAGUGCCAGUUCACUUUGGAAAGGGGUUGAUAAGCACAGAAACUUUUGCUGCA